GUCUGAAUUUUGAGUCCUAGACUCAUUAUUCGAAUUUCAAAAUCUUGGAGUAGAAAUGGUUCCAGAUUUGUGGUCCGAAGCCGAGUACUUCACAGUUUUAAGUAAAGAUGUCUUGCAGAAAUUGUUGAAUUGCUCCACAGUAUAAUUUCCUCUCAACUGUUUCAAAUUUCCUGAGUUCACAGGAGUUGGAUCUCAGAUCACCCAGAUUGAUGUUGAUUUGGAAAAAAUAAUGAAGUUAUUGCUUAGCAAAUGCUUUGAAAAAUUUCACCGAAUUUAUUCAAUCGCUCACUGAGAAACAAAAGGAAAAGUCAAUAAACGGGAGAAAGAAUGAAUCUAGACGAUACCGGCGAAAAUUUGCUAAGAACUCCCGGAAAAACUUUUCUCGAACUAUCCAUGGAAUCGAAGGCUCGGAAUCAGAAGCUUCUACAGAGGAUCUGCAGGACACUGACGGCCAAGGAAGAACCGAUGAGACUCUGCUCAUUGAAAAGGAAAACACUACAAUGAACACUGAUGUUGGAAUCUUUCGUGGAUACUGUUGGAAUCUUUCGUGGAUACAGAAGGACCAGAAAAUUCUGUAAUCAGCAAUUCGUGCGACGAUAAUAUUGAUAUUAUCACCGAUUCGAUCUUAAGAAUUAACAGUUCUAUAAGUCACAGUUCAUCUUCCGGCUCUCCUCAUAAUGUUCGCUCGCCUUCACUCAAGGAGAAGUUUUUCCAUGGAUAUAUGUACGCCGACACGGAUGAUAGUGGCAAAGAAGACAAAAUGCACAGACUGAAUAGAACGAAUGACCGUGUAGAAAAGAAAAAUGAGUCCUCUACUACGAAUUUUAGAUCUUCCAGCAGGAAAUCUGCGAAAAGAGCGUUGGAACAAACUGAACUCGCCAAAUGUACAUUGCAGUCCACUGCAAUUCCACGAAAACUGCCGAAACGCGAUGUAAAAGCGCCAGAAAGAUUGGGAUACAGAAACUAGGACCAGAUAAUUCGUAAUAAACAGUAGUAGUUUUCAUUAAUUUUUAAUAAAACUG
RNAcentral lists this small RNA (1022 nucleotides) under Caenorhabditis briggsae. RNAcentral describes it as "sRNA CBG29754". The record is from RNAcentral. Lineage: Eukaryota; Metazoa; Nematoda; Chromadorea; Rhabditida; Rhabditidae.